UCCUUUGCGGAUUUUCACCUUGGCCUCACCUUUUUCUUUUCUUUUCUCUUUUUUUUACUUUUUUUUGAAAUAUUUUUUGAUUGAAUCUGAACUCAUAGGAUUAGGCAUGUCCUUGUUAUCCCUUCUGAUCAAAAUCGACGCUUUUCAAGGCCCUUCCCAUUUUGGGAUAAAGUUCUUUUUGUAUGGGAAGGAUCUUCUUCAAUACCA
RNAcentral lists this long non-coding RNA (207 nucleotides) under Gossypium raimondii (Peruvian cotton). RNAcentral's name for it is "long non-coding RNA (GRAI_LNC008510)". Lineage: Eukaryota; Viridiplantae; Streptophyta; Magnoliopsida; Malvales; Malvaceae. The record is from RNAcentral.